This 448-nucleotide ribosomal RNA is filed under the name uncultured bacterium. RNAcentral's name for it is "bacterial SSU rRNA". It matches the Rfam family "Bacterial small subunit ribosomal RNA", at positions 28 to 490 of the family's 1533-position model. The record is from RNAcentral.
GACGAACGCUGGCGGCGUGCUUAACACAUGCAAGUCGAACGGUGACCCAGGGCUUGCCCUGGUGAUCAGUGGCGAACGGGUGAGUAACACGUGGGCAACCUGCCCCUGACUUCGGGAUAACUCCUCGAAAGAGGAGCUAAUACCGGAUACGACCACUUCGGACAUCCGAUGGUGGUGGAAAGUUUUUCGGUCAGGGAUGGGCCCGCGGCCUAUCAGCUAGUUGGUGGGGUAAUGGCCUACCAAGGCGACGACGGUAGCCGGCCUGAGAGGGCGACCGGCCACACUGGGACUGAGACACGGCCCAGACGCCUACGGGAGGCAGCAGUGGGGAAUAUUGCGCAAUGGGCGAAAGCCUGACGCAGCGACGCCGCAUGAGGGAUGAAGGCCUUCGGGUUGUAAACCGUCUUUCUAGCAGGACGAAGCGAAGUGACGGUACCUGCAGAAGAAG